This 696-nucleotide long non-coding RNA is filed under the name Homo sapiens (human). RNAcentral describes it as "novel transcript". Lineage: Eukaryota; Metazoa; Chordata; Mammalia; Primates; Hominidae. The record is from RNAcentral.
UGUUAGGAAGGGUCCCAGGAGGUAGACCCACACAGAUGGGAUUUGGGCAUAGGUUUGGUUUCCCAGGGGGCAGUGCUGAGCUCUUUGCCAGUGGGAAAUGGGAUGCUGGUGAUUUCCAGUAGGUGACCUCACAGUGACUCAAGCUACCACUUACUGUUGAUUGUGACGAAAUGCCAGCUGAGGCACAUGCCUUGGGAGCUAAGUGGUUGCUGCCCUUGACCACUGUGAAGACUGGUGUGGGAAGGGUCGUUUUGGAUGCACUUGAGCAGGGGUCCCCAACCCCUGAGCCAUGGAGCCGCAAGGAGCCACACAGCAGGAGGUGGGAACAUCCAGUUGCGGGAAAACAAGCUUAACACGCCCACUGAUUCUACAUUAUGCUCCUACCUCCCGGCAGCCUCUCCAGGCCCAGAACUUUCUCCAGUCAGCCUCUACAGACCAAGCUCAUGACUCACAAUGGCCUAUUUAGGCCCAUACCCUACGUCACGGCAGCCUCCGCAGAUGAGCCUACUGCCUCACAACAGCCUCCACAGGCACAGCUCCAUCGUUACAAUGGCCUCUUUAGACCCAGCUCCUGCCUCCCAGCCUUCUCUCCAGGCUCUGAACUUUCUCAGUAAGUUCAGGUAGCUGGGACUGUAGGGUCUCCCUCUGUUGUCCAAGGCUGGAGUGUAGUAGUGCUAUCGCAGCUGACUGCAGCCU